This 253-nucleotide ribosomal RNA is filed under the name uncultured bacterium. RNAcentral describes it as "partial 16S ribosomal RNA". It matches the Rfam family "Bacterial small subunit ribosomal RNA", at positions 524 to 776 of the family's 1533-position model. The record is from RNAcentral.
GACGAACCGUGCGAACGUUGUUCGGAAUCACUGGGCUUAAAGGGCGCGUAGGCGGGUUCGCAAGUCUGUGGUGAAAGCCUCCAGCUUAACUGGAGAAGUGCCAUGGAUACUGCGCAUCUUGAGGAGGGUAGGGGCGUCUGGAACGGUCGGUGGAGCGGUGAAAUGCGUUGAUAUCGACCGGAACACCGGUGGCGAAGGCGGCAUCCUGGACCAACACUGACACUGAGGAGCGAAAGCCAGGGGAGCAAACGGG